AAAUAUAAAUAUCAGUUUUUUGUGGAUGCUUUGGUUUAAAAGAAGAAGGACGUUGUGCAAAACGAAAUGUUAUACUGAGAGUGUAAUCUGCGACGUAUAAAUUUCCUCCGUGGGAAACCACCACUCAUUUUUUAUUCAACUGGGUGAACUGAAACAUCUUAGUAACCCAAGGAAAAGAAAUCAACCGAGAUUCCGUAAGUAUCGGCGAGAGAACAUGGAACAGACCAAACCCCUUUAUUCUGGAAUGCAGAAAGGUGUGGAAAAAUCUACCAAAGAAGGUGAAAGUCCUGUAGGCGUUAUAGGAAAGGUGUGUUCAAAAAAGUAGAACGACGAUGUUUGUUUGAAUACAGGAGGUCCACCUUCUAGGUCUAAAUAUGCUUUUGAAACCAAUAGUGAACAAGUACCGUGAGGGAAAAGUGAAAAGAACCUUACUUAAAGGAGUGAAAUAGAACCUGAAACAAAAAAUAAUCAUUCAAUCGAUUUUCUUCCUACGGAAAGUCGGUGUACCUUUUGCAUAAUGGGUCAGCGAGUAAAUAAAAAAAGCGUUGCUUAAACGGUUACGUGGAGGCAAAGCAAAAGCGAGUAUCAAAAGUGCGUGUGUUUUUUUUAUUUGACCCGAAACUAAGUGAUCUAGCUUUGACCAGGCUGAAGAAAGGGUAAAAGUUUUUGGAGGGCCGAACUGACGUCUGUUGCAAUAGACGCAGAUGAGUUGAGGCUAGGGGUGAAAGGCCAAUCAAACUUAGAGAUAGCUGGUUCUCCGCGAAAUUUAUUGAGGUAAAGCGUUCAAUGAGAGAGAAAGGGGGUAGAGCACUCAUUAGGUAAAGGGGAUCCAAAGUCUUACUAAACGUAUUGAAACUCCGAAUACUUUUCUUUUCUAUCUUGAGCAGACAGACUUAAAGUGCUAAGGUUUUAAGUCAAAAGGGAAACAGCCCAGACUGUCCGCUAAGGUCCCUAAACAUUUUGGAAGUGGAAAAAGCGUUUUAUAACGAAGACAGCUAGGAGAUUGGCUUGGAAGCAGCCAUUCUAUAAUGAAAGCGUAAUAGCUCACUAGUCGAGUUUUAAAGCACUGAGAAUGUAUCGGGGCUUCACAAAAUUACCCAAGCGACAGAUAUUAUUGGUAGCGGAGCGUUUUGUAGACCAUUGAAGAGGUUUUGUGAAAAACUUUGGAGGAUUCAAAAGUGAGAAUGCUGACAUGAGUAACGACAAAUCAUGUGACAAUCAUGAUCGCCGUAAGUUCAAGGGUUUCUGCGUUCUGUUUUUCAGCGCAGAGUGAGUCGGUCUCUAAGUGUGUUUUUGAGAAAAAACCACGAUGAAACAAAUGAAAGAUGACGAAAUGCUAAGUAGAAAUCAAGAGUGUAUUGGAUGGCUUUUUGGUUUCUAUCAUUUCCAGGAAAACUCUUCAUAAACUGUGACCGUACCCGAAACCGACACUGGUGAACGAGUCGAAUAGACUCAGGCGUGGAGCGAACCAUAUUGAAGGAACUCGGCAAAUUUUUCCUGUACCUUUGGAAGAAAGGAAGCCAAUUUUGGUGACACAAAAAUGGGGGUGACGACUUUUUACUAAAAAAUUAGGACUCUGCAAAAUGGGAACAUGAUGUAUAGGGUCUGACGCCUGCCCGGUGCUUGAAGCUUAACCUGUAUACUGUUUUGGUAUAUUGUGAAGGCCUAGUAAACGGCGGUUGUAACUAUAACAAUCAUAAAGUAGCGAAAUUCAUUGUCAGCUAAUUCCUGACCUGCAUGAAAGGCGUAACGAUUGCCCCACUGUCUCCAGUAUGGACUCCGUGAAAUUGAACUCUCCGUGCAGAUGCGGAGAAUGUGCCCCAAGACGAGAAGACCCUAUGCAUCUUUACUGUACAUUUACACUGGAAAAAAGC
Molecule: ribosomal RNA, 1874 nt
Filed under: marine metagenome
Description: bacterial LSU rRNA
Rfam family: Bacterial large subunit ribosomal RNA
Source: RNAcentral